UCCGUAGGUGAACCUGCGGAAGGAUCAUUACUGUGAUUUAUCCACCACACUGCGUGGGCGACACGAAACACCGAAACCGAACGCACGCCGUCAAGCAAGAAAUCCACAAAACUUUCAACAACGGAUCUCUUGGUUCUCGCAUCGAUGAAGAACGCAGC
This 158-nucleotide ribosomal RNA is filed under the name Pichia fermentans. Its description in RNAcentral is "partial contains small subunit ribosomal RNA, internal transcribed spacer 1, 5.8S ribosomal RNA". The stretch from base 110 to 158 matches the Rfam family "5.8S ribosomal RNA", at positions 1 to 49 of the family's 154-position model. The record is from RNAcentral. Lineage: Eukaryota; Fungi; Ascomycota; Pichiomycetes; Pichiales; Pichiaceae.